This 440-nucleotide ribosomal RNA is filed under the name uncultured bacterium. Its description in RNAcentral is "partial 16S ribosomal RNA". It matches the Rfam family "Bacterial small subunit ribosomal RNA", at positions 338 to 795 of the family's 1533-position model. The record is from RNAcentral.
CCUACGGGAGGCAGCAGUGGGGAAUAUUGCACAAUGGGGGAAACCCUGAUGCAGCGACGCCGCGUGAGCGAUGAAGUAUUUCGGUAUGUAAAGCUCUAUCAGCAGGGAAGAAAAUGACGGUACCUGACUAAGAAGCCCCGGCUAACUACGUGCCAGCAGCCGCGGUAAUACGUAGGGGGCAAGCGUUAUCCGGAUUUACUGGGUGUAAAGGGAGCGUAGACGGUCCUGCAAGCCAGAUGUGAAAGCCCGGGGCUCAACCCCGGGACUGCAUUUGGAACUGUAAGGCUAGAGUGUCGGAGAGGCAGGCGGAAGUCCUAGUGUAGCGGUGAAAUGCGUAGAUAUUAGGAGGAACACCGGUGGCGAAGGCGGCUUGCUGGACGGUAACUGACGUUGAGGCUCGAAAGCGUGGGGAGCAAACAGGAUUAGAUACCCUAGUAGUC